GGCUCAGUAGCUCAGUGGUAGAGCAGGGGACUCAUAAGCCCUUGGUCACGUGUUCAAAUCACGUCUGAGCCA
This 72-nucleotide transfer RNA is filed under the name Leptolyngbya sp. PCC 7375. RNAcentral's name for it is "tRNA-Met". It matches the Rfam family "tRNA". From Rfam's summary of the family: Transfer RNA (tRNA) molecules are approximately 80 nucleotides in length. Their secondary structure includes four short double-helical elements and three loops (D, anti-codon, and T loops). Further hydrogen bonds mediate the characteristic L-shaped molecular structure. tRNAs have two regions of fundamental functional importance: the anti-codon, which is responsible for specific mRNA codon recognition, and the 3' end, to which the tRNAs corresponding amino acid is attached (by aminoacyl-tRNA synthetases). tRNAs cope with the degeneracy of the genetic code in two manners: having more than one tRNA (with a specific anti-codon) for a particular amino acid; and 'wobble' base-pairing, i.e. permitting non-standard base-pairing at the 3rd anti-codon position. RNAcentral also lists the same sequence under 38 other names. The record is from RNAcentral. Lineage: Bacteria; Bacillati; Cyanobacteriota; Cyanophyceae; Leptolyngbyales; Leptolyngbyaceae.